This 1090-nucleotide long non-coding RNA is filed under the name Salmo salar (Atlantic salmon). RNAcentral's name for it is "lncRNA (ENSSSAG00000114182.1)". The record is from RNAcentral. Lineage: Eukaryota; Metazoa; Chordata; Actinopteri; Salmoniformes; Salmonidae.
GCUGUACACAUCCAUACACAACAGACACACAUUAUAAUAUGGUGCUGUACACAUCCAUACACAACAGACACACAUUAUAAUAUGGUGCUGUACACAUCCAUACACAACAGACACAUUCUAAUAUGGUACUGUACACAUCCAUACACAACAGACACACAUUCUAAUAUGGUACUGUACACAUCCAUCCACAACAGACACAUUCUAAUAUGUUACUGUACACAUCCAUACACAACAGACACAUUCUAAUAUGGUACUGUACAGAUCCAUACACAACAGACACAAUCUAAUAUGUUACUGUACAGAUCCAUACACAACAGACACAUUCUAAUAUUGUACUGUACACAUCCAUACACAACAGACACAUUGUAAUAUGUUACUGUACACACCCAUACACAACAGACACAUUCUAAUAUGAUUCUGUACACAUCAAUACACAAAAGACACAUUCUAAUAUGGUACUGUACACAUCCAUACACAACAGACACACAUUCUAAUAUGGUACUGUACCCAUCCAUACACAAAAGACACAUUCUAAUAUGGUACUGUACACAUCCAUACAAAACAGACACAUUCUAAUAUGGUACUGUACACAUCCAUACACAACAGACACAUUCUAAUAUGGUACUGUACACAUCCAUACACAACAGACACAUUCUAAUAUGUUGCUGUACACAUCCAUACACAACGAGACACAUUAUAAUAUGUUACUGUACACAUCCACACACAACAGACACAUUCUAAUAUGUUACUGUACAGAUCCAUACACAACAGACACAUUCUAAUAUGUUACUGUACACAUCCAUACACAACAGACACAUUCUAAUAUGUUACUGUACACAUCCAUACACAACAGACACAUUCUAAUAUGUUACUGUACACAUCCAUACACAACAGACACAUUCUAAUAUGUUACUGUACACAUCCAUACACAACAGACACAUUCUAAUAUAUUACUGUACACAUCCAUACACAACAGACACACUUUCUAAUAUGGUACUGUACACACUCAUACACAACAGACACAUUCUAAUAUGGUACUGUACAGAUCCAUACACAACAGACACAUUCUAAUAUGGUACUGUACACAUCC